Molecule: ribosomal RNA, 114 nt
Filed under: Heterocephalus glaber (naked mole-rat)
Lineage: Eukaryota; Metazoa; Chordata; Mammalia; Rodentia; Bathyergidae
Source: RNAcentral
GUCUACGGCCAUACCACCCUGAAUGAACCCGAUCUAGUCUGAUCUCUUGGAAGCUAAGCAGGGUCGGACCUGGUAAGUAUUUGGAUGGGAGAAAUACAAAUGUGGCCCCAAACC